This 76-nucleotide transfer RNA is filed under the name Chloroflexota bacterium. Its description in RNAcentral is "Chloroflexi bacterium tRNA-Arg". It matches the Rfam family "tRNA". Rfam says of the family: Transfer RNA (tRNA) molecules are approximately 80 nucleotides in length. Their secondary structure includes four short double-helical elements and three loops (D, anti-codon, and T loops). The record is from RNAcentral. Lineage: Bacteria; Bacillati; Chloroflexota. RNAcentral also lists the same sequence under 1 other name.
GCCCCCGUAGCUCAACGGAUAGAGCGAAAGACUUCUAAUCUUUAGGUUGCGCGUUCGAAUCGCGCCGGGGGUGCCA